RNAcentral lists this ribosomal RNA (253 nucleotides) under uncultured bacterium. RNAcentral describes it as "partial 16S ribosomal RNA". It matches the Rfam family "Bacterial small subunit ribosomal RNA", at positions 524 to 776 of the family's 1533-position model. The record is from RNAcentral.
UACGGAGGAUGCAAGCGUUAUCCGGAAUGAUUGGGCGUAAAGCGUCCGCAGGUGGCACUUCAAGUCUGCUGUUAAAUACUAGGGCUUAACCCUGGAGCGGCAGUGGAAACUGAAGAGCUAGAGUUCGGUAGGGGUAGAGGGAAUUCGCAGUGUAGCGGUGAAAUGCUUAGAGAUUGGAAAGAACACCAAUGGCGAAAGCGCUCUGCUAGGCCGAAACUGACACUCAUGCACGAAAGCUAGGGGAGCGAAUGGG